Long non-coding RNA from Leptonychotes weddellii (Weddell seal), 4155 nucleotides. RefSeq lists it as uncharacterized. Lineage: Eukaryota; Metazoa; Chordata; Mammalia; Carnivora; Phocidae. The record is from RefSeq and is a predicted model, not a curated record.
CAAUAUACGGUAAUAAAAGUUAUGUGAAUGUGGUCUCUCUUUCAAAAUAUCUUAUUGUAUGUACUCACCCUUCUACUUGUAAUGAUGUGAGAUGAUAAAAUGCUUAGCGAUGAGAUGAAGUGAGGUGAACAGCACAUGCGUUGUGACGUAGCAUUAGGCUGCUGUUGACCUUCUGACAAUGUGUCAGGGGAUCAUCUGCUUCCGGAUCAUGGUUGAACAGGGUAACUGGAACCAGGAGAGCAAAACCGUGGGAGGGUCUUGUAGGUACUAAGAUGGGGGGUGGGGGCUGCUGUAGGUACAAUGAAUACAUAAAUAAGCUAGCUCUGAUGUAUUAAUUCUAAGCCUUUCUCAUCUGUUAAAAAGCCACCCCUUAAGAACUCCAGCUGUGGCAUACUUUGUUAAUCUAUUUGGGAUUAUAGUGUUGUUUUUGGAUUCUUGAAAAUACCUAAUUAGAGUACAGUCCUUGAGAUAUUUAGUAUUCAGAUCUUUUUCUAAUUUGUACUCCUUUCCUCUCAUCAUCCCUCAUAUACCCUCUCAAUGUGAUUAUACUGUAAAAUACUGUUGUAAGCUAGUGCUCAAAAAGUAUAGUCUUCAAAACUAAAAGACUUUAGGACUUAAAAUCUAUUGGAAAGUUAACAUAAAAAAAAUAGCUGCCACAUAGGCUCGUAAAGUACUUUCGUAGAUACUUAUUUGAUACCUCUUGCUAGAUGGCAGUUUCACCCCCUUGACUUCUUUUCGAUUUCUUUUUUCCCUUCUUUACAUUUUGGAAAUCACAGAUUUGAUGGUUAAAUUCAUAGGUUUUCUUUUCUUAGUCCAAACUGUUUUCAUUUCUCACUUGUACAGAAUUGAAUAUAUUCCUAAAGCAGAAGGGUUAGCUUGUCUUUCUUCUUCAGGCUUUAAAAAAAAAUUGAGUCUAAAUGUUGUUAGGUAAUGGAAUAACGAUUCCUUUUCAGCUGUUGGUUUAUUUCCAAACUGGCUGGCAGAGCCAGGAGGAAGUGGAGGCCUUAAAACACUAACUUUGGUUGGUUGCUCCCUUCUUAGUGCUGAGACUAUAACCUUUGUUGGUUGGUUGAUAGAGAACAAGAGAGCACAAUCCUCGUUCCACUAACAGGUAAGGAACCCUUCUGAUAACCAGUUGGCGUGAGAGAAAUUAUUUGAUAGCGUUUUUUUCUUAAUUUAUCCCCAAAUAUAACGUGUCCAUGAUAUAGUAUAGUGUGGCUGUAUUCUAUACAACAGGAAUGUGCAGCCCCUUUCUAUUUAGAGUGAGAUCUGAAAUUUAAUAGGGAUGUAUUACUCUGUACCACAAAGUAUAAUUGAUCUGUUUUCCACUAUUAAAAUUUAUUCUGCAGUCCCUAUAACUUUAAAUACAUAUCUGCUUAUCUUAUUCUCCUUUCAGCUUUUCCUUGAUCAGAUGCUAUGUGCUUUGAACUUCCUUCUCUUAUUUACCUUAUUCCUAUAAUAAAGCAGACUAUUUUCCAGUAUCUUUAUCAUCAUCUGUUAUUUGGGUAUAUCUUACUGCUUUAAUAUCUGCAUUGUAACCAUUAAUGAUUUAUUUCCUGGUCCUUCUUGACCCAAAACCAAAUGAUCAUACAUUUAAAAAAGAUUUUUAGAUUGUAUUACCUACUAUGUCCACUGCUCUGCCCUCCCACUUUUAAAUAUGAGUGCUUGAAGAAUAAAUCUUUUUCAGUGACAGUAGUCAUAACUUGAUAAAAUUUAGGCUUAGCUUUGUAUUGCUGUAAUAUGGGACUGUAGUCUGAUUAAUUCUUUAAAUUACUGAACACUUAAAAAUGAGAACAAAUUCAGCUUCUUAGACGAUUCCCAAAGUUUAGUAGUUUUUCUGUUAAUAUGCUUGAUUAUUCUGUUUCUCCUUUUUCAAUCCAUCUUCUUCUCUUUGACAGAAGAACUAACUGGGACUCCUCAUUUGAUAUCUCUGAGGUCGAGUGCCUUUCCCUGUCCCUUUAAGACAACUGUGCUCUUGUUUCUAGUCAUAAUUUAUCAGUUUUUGAUUCGGUCUUCCACUCGAAGUUGGGUGGUUUGUCACAGAGUAUGUUAUGGCUUACACCAAGAUAGGCCCCUUCUUAAUAAUUACUGAAGAAUUAAUCAUUUGUGGUGACAGAUUUCUAAAAUUCAAAUUAGAAAGGCACUAAAGAAAGUAUCCCCAAAGGUAGCUCCUUUUUAUCCUGAGGAUAAGUCAUUACAAACUCAAAUGACCAGAGAAUGUAAUUUCUUAAUAAGAAUUUUUUCUUAAAUCUAUAUUCAGCUCUCUAUUUCAGUGCUUCUCUCCUACCAGAGGUGCAAGGAGUGAUCCUAGAACCACAGAUACAGCCAAGACCACGGAGAGCUUUUGACGUCAGGGGUCCACUUUCUCCACUGAACCCUUGGAGGCAGAAUAUCCAGCUACUGGAGAGAGUGGGAAAGGAUAAUAAACAAAUUUCUUUCAACUGGUAAACAUCAUACUUCUUCAGCAAAAGGAACUCUUCUAGCAGAGCCUUCAUGGAUGAUCUCUGUCACACAUGCAGCACCUGCAGUUUGGAAGGCAGUGGUGAACGGAGCCACGCACUAUAUCUAGAAGACACAAGGAUGAGAGAGCCACCUGAUCUUGUCAUUUAUAAACUUUAAGAUUUAUUCUGGUGUACUCUUGGUCUGGAAAUGGAAAGGCUCAAAUAAUGAAAUAAUUUUUUCAGAUUGGAGUUUUACAUGGCCAUGCAAAUAUUCCUUUCUAUUCAGAAGACUGAAAUAGAGGCAGUAUGAGAGACUCCUUUCUUUUAAAAGCAGCUCUCUGUUUCACUUAAAAGAUUUGUGGGAUUGAAAAUCACCUUAAUGAAGCAGGCAACCCCCCCCCUUUUUUUUAAGUAUUAUAGGAGAUCCCAAAAACUUCUGGAACUGUUUUUUGUUGCCUGACACUGAAAAGAACUAGUAAAUAAAAGGUGAAUUUCUUAAUUAUUCCCAAAUUACUUUUAGUAUUAGGAUACAGUCUUUAACUUCUCUUUUUCUGGUCUUGAGCCUUAAUUCUUAUUUGUCAAAUCAACAAAGAUUCCAGUAUGGAGUAGGAGAGACAUCUUUUGAGAUCAAAGUAGCUUGGGCAGUCUUCUAAAAUAGUAAAUACCUGUUAAAUUUGAGGUAUUGUUCUGCAUUAAAGGCAUACUAAAGUUUGAAUGAUACUGAAAUGAGAAAGUAUUUUAUAGAGCAAAGGCAAUAUUAGAAUAAGCCUCUACAUGUGAAGAAGUGUUGCAAAAUAGUUAUCCAAAUGGAAGGAGUUAACAAAAUGUUUCUGUUUUUCUCUUUGGUAUCUAUUAACUGGUCAGUCAAAAGCUAUUAAAGAAGUUUUUAAAAGUUACCUGAUGCUGCCAGUUUGUUUUAUUUGGUAUACUUUUUAGGAAUAGAAAUUCUAGAGUUAAGCAUCUAAAUGUUUUAGGGAUCUUGAAGGUCUUAGGAACCACAUUUACUAAGUUUAUAACCUGGCCUUUAGUCUUUCUUUCCAUGAGACCUGUUUUUUUUUUUCUCAUUAAUUAUAAAUUUUUGUAUAGUACUUAAAAGUUUAAAAGAUCAAUUUGAACUAAAAUUUCUGUAGGGAGCUCUGAAUUCCCAUGAAUGAUUACAGCUUUUUAUGCUUGAUUUAUUGUUGUUAAAUACGAAUAAGACCGUCUUUACAAACACAUAAAUUAAAAAAUACCCACCAUUUUAGAACUCAGGGGAAAUGAAAGUGAAAUUUGCUUGGAAAUUAAGUUGAACUCUUUGAACCAUAGUACCAACCAGUUUAUGGCCUGUGCGAUUAUUAGCCUUUUGUUUCAGCUUUAAAGAUGAAAAGUGAUUUAAUCUCUUAACUUCAUGCUUUGAUUAAAUUUUAGCUCUGUUCCUUAAAGUGUGCAAAAGAAAUGUAAGUGCAUUUCCAUUCACCUCAUGCCACUAAAAGCUAUUUUAAAGUGAAACUUUUUGUAUAUUAAUGUGAACUGAUUUGUUUAUUUAAACUUUUAUUUUGAUACAUUUUCCUUUCAGAUUUUUUUAUAUUUCGUGUCACUAUGCAAUCCUAUAUUUUUCAGUGUUUAUUUUAUGAUUAUUAGUAUAAGCUAAUUUUUUUCCUAGAAUGACUAAUUGUGUAAUAUUUGUAUUAUGUGAUCAUUUGAAAACUAAUAAAUAUUUUCUCCAUGAAAAAAA